RNAcentral lists this non-coding RNA (21 nucleotides) under Brachythecium albicans. The record is from RNAcentral. Lineage: Eukaryota; Viridiplantae; Streptophyta; Bryopsida; Hypnales; Brachytheciaceae.
ACGCACUCCAGAGACAAGACC